GACGAACGCUGGCGGCGUGCUUAACACAUGCAAGUCGAACGGAAAGGCCCUGCUUUUGUGGGGUGCUCGAGUGGCGAACGGGUGAGUAACACGUGAGUAACCUGCCCUUGACUUUGGGAUAACUUCAGGAAACUGGGGCUAAUACCGGAUAGGAGCUCCUGCUGCUUGGUGGGGGUUGGAAAGUUUCGGCGGUUGGGGAUGGACUCGCGGCUUAUCAGCUUGUUGGUGGGGUAGUGGCUUACCAAGGCUUUGACGGGUAGCCGGCCUGAGAGGGUGACCGGCCACAUUGGGACUGAGAUACGGCCCAGACUCCUACGGGAGGCAGCAGUGGGGAAUAUUGCACAAUGGGCGGAAGCCGGAUGCAGCAACGCCGCGUGCGGGAUGACGGCCUUCGGGUUGUAAACCGCUUUCGCCUGUGACGAAGCGUGAGUGACGGUAAUGGGUAAAGAAGCACCGGCUAACUACGUG
Molecule: ribosomal RNA, 468 nt
Filed under: uncultured bacterium
Lineage: Bacteria
Description: partial 16S ribosomal RNA
Rfam family: Bacterial small subunit ribosomal RNA
Source: RNAcentral